UCCGGUGUGGUGUAAUGGUUAGCAUACUUGCCUUUCAAAGUCUAUGACAUGGAGCGCAGGGGAUCGGGGUUCAAUUCCCCGCACCGGAA
This is a non-coding RNA of Tricladium varicosporioides, 89 nucleotides long. Lineage: Eukaryota; Fungi; Ascomycota; Leotiomycetes; Helotiales; Tricladiaceae. The record is from the annotation of a GenBank genome assembly.